This 3274-nucleotide long non-coding RNA is filed under the name Sus scrofa (pig). Its description in RNAcentral is "lncRNA (ENSSSCG00065030409.1)". Lineage: Eukaryota; Metazoa; Chordata; Mammalia; Artiodactyla; Suidae. The record is from RNAcentral.
GUCCACUGGAGCAUGGAUUCUUGAGGAGGGAAGACGUGUCCCAUGGCCUUUUGUGGUGGUCCCUAAUUGAGAAGUCUGUGUCUGCGAACCUCAAACCUGUGGAGGGUUCUCGACAAUGUGGGAAAUCGUGAGACCACCAGGCAACUUCCGUUAACAGACCAAGUUUCAGCAGGAAUGGGGAUUUUAUGUUGGCAGAAGGUGAAGAAGAUAUAUGAGGUCCCAUAUGCACGAAGUGGCAAAACAGUUUUUGAAAGUUCCAUCCAAACAAACUCAUCACUUGUUGGGGAUUCCUUUGUGGAUUUCUCUUUUGAGAAGAGCCAGAAAACCACUUACAUAAUGACUUCUCCAACUGAGCAGGUGAUGGAAGGAAGAGCAAGUGGUGUGGAGGACUGGCUGCAGGCGUCAUCAGCACUGCUUUUACCCCUUUGCCCACUGUUGGUUUGGGAGAGGCAGGACCAGUCAAAGACCUAUGCUUACUUAUCUCCUCAAAAAUAAGAAUUUGGGGUUCCCAUCAUGGCUCAGUGGUAACAAACCUGAUUAGUAUUCAUGAGGACUCGAGUUUGAUCCCUGGCCUUGCUCAGUGGGUUAAGUAUCUGGUGUUGCUGUGAGCUGUGGUCUAAGUUGCAGACACAGCCUGGAUCUGUCAUUGCUGUGGCUGUGGCGUAGGCUGGCAGCUGCAGCUCCAAUUUGACCUCUAGCCUGGAAACUUCCAUAUGCCGUGGGUGUGGCCCUAAAAAAGACAAUACAUACAUACAUACAAGAAUAGAAGCAAAUGCCUUCACCCUUUCCUUCUUCCUUUUUGCAGUAUUUCUGCCCUCUGUGCUGUUCCAGUGAUUUGUUUAUAGCUGGAGAAAGUGAGUCACUUGGUAAUAUAAACUUUUCCUCCUUUUAAGCAGGAGAAGCCCUACUAAUCCCCAGCUUUUCAAACAUGAAGUUAUUUUAGCUCUCAUUGUUAAAAAUUUAUAGCUCUAGCAACCAGAUUCUGGAUUCCUCUUAUCCUGAGAACUAGGUGUCCUAGGGCAGUGGGGUUGAAGAUGAAAAGUUGGGGUUGGGAGGAAUGUGAUUCUACAUCUUGAGAACAAGAUUCCUUCCGUGUUUUUUGUUUUUUUAAUUUAUAGGAAAACAGAUGAUGGCUCUUUAUGACAGCCCUCAUGGAGCCUGGGGAUAUUAUUUUCUAUAAAUAAACUGGAUGACUGCCAGGGUAAAAGUAAUCUGGGACAUGAUUCUUAGUGUCUACUAUAGUGAACUGUUCUGAAAACUCCAGCUGACACUUGGUAUGAGUUUCAAGAUCGUAAAGGGUAUUUUGACCCUUCAUACAUGGGAAACUGGUACAUUUUCUUCUUCAUCUAGUUUCCACUUAAAAUGAAAAUUACCAGACUCACAGAAUGAGUUAAGAGUCUCCGUAAUCAAAUGCUAAUAAAUAUGCACUGCUGAUUUGCUUAUUGCUUACCACGUGGUGGGUGAGAGGAUAUUUUCUUAGUAAUUUUAAGGAUAAUGGUGAUUCACGACCACUAGUCCAGCAAGGCCAGAUUCUUCCUUAGUUAAAGAUCUAAAUCCUGCUCUCCUCACUUAACUCAGUAAAGUAGGUGUAGCUCUAAGAAGUGUCUGACUGAGGGUAAGAAACCAAACAAUUUGUUAGUGUUUAGAAUUUUGGGCCCGAAGGUGGUUUCAGAGUCUUAUAUCUCUGUUGCGAUGAAUUUCUGUUGAAUAUGAGAACAUCUUAAAUCAGAAUGAAUGACAAGACUUUGACUCCGGGGUAUGGAGUCAUUGAAGGGAGAACAUACUGCAUCUCCCAGGCUGCUCAAAAAUUAAGAAAAAUCAGUCCCCUGCAUCUGCUUUGCAUAUGAUGGGGCAGGACAGUGUAGAGAUUUGGGAACAUGCAAUGAUGCUGAAUAGCUAAUCUGAUAAAUCAACAGAAGACCACAGAGGAGCUCGUUAUAGAAAAUAGAGGAAGAAUAACCGAACUUUGCAAGAAGUAGUUCAUCUGUGGAAUUUCCUUUUAGCUUGAAAGAAAAAUCUUCCCCUCCUUCCUCUGGACAUGCUCCUAUUGUCAAAACUGUUCACUUGGCAGUUGCACUUGUCGCAUCCUGUUUGUAUUGUGAAUGACACAUUCAUGUGCGAGAGUCUAAUAUCUCUGCUGGAUGGGGACUUUUUCAAGGCAAGGGGCUGAGCUUUCCACUCCUUUGUGUCCUUGUAUCUUCCAGCUUUGAACUUCAUAUAUAAUGAUGCAUAAUGCACCAUUCAUUACUAUGAAUUAUGCAUUAUUGUUAUGAAUUAUUCUUAUGAUCCUUAUUAUGACUCGUUAUUCAUACUUGAUGAAAAUUCAGUCAAAGUUAAAAGUACACAUGCAUUCUUUCUCAUGCAUUCAGGUAGAAUCAAGACAAGCUUAUUUGGACUCAAGGCCCAAAGCUCUUGCUUGGCAAUCUUUCUUUAUAGAUGGUUUAUACUCAGGGUAUAGUUGAUUUAAUUCAGUGAGUGUUUACUGAGCUUCUAUCAUGUGAAGGGUUAUAGAAUAUAAAAAAGAAACAAGAUAAUAUCAAAGCAAUCAAUGAGAUUAUAGCCUAAUACAUGAAUGAUGCAUAGAUUUCAACUUAAAUGUCUACCUCAUCAUCAAUUGAUGAUGGUUGCUGGGAUUGCUGACAAGGAUUUUAAAGUCUGGUCUAGAUUCAGUAGGAAAAAAUGCUGUGAUCAGUUUGCAAUGUUUCCCAUUUGUUUAGGAAUGAAUGAUAGUAUGGGCACCACACACUCACAAUCCCCAAUUUGCAGAAUGAAUUCAAAGUCUAGAUAGUAGAAGAAGCUUAUAUUUAGUAGAAUCCAAUCACAAUCAAUCAAUAACUUACAUUUGUUUUGGUAAAAAAAUAAAUACUAAACAAAUAUAUAAAUUAUAUGAACUGAUUAUGUUUUAGUCAAUUUGGACUGUCAUAACAAAAUACCAUAGAUUGGAUGGCUUACACAACAGGAAUUUAUAUACUUAUGGUUUUGAAAGCUAGGCAUGCAAGAUGAAGGUUCUGGCCAAUUCAGUUCCUGUGAGAGCUCUCUCUCUGACCUAUGGAUGGCUAUUUUUUGUACACACAUGACUUCUUUUUUGUGUUCUCUAGGAAGGAGAGUGAUAAAGCCCUGUGGGGUCAGGGGCCCAGCUUUAUGACCUCAUUUAACCUUAAUUACUUCCUUAGAGGCCCCACCUUCAAUACAGCCACAUGGUGGGGUGGGGGAGGAUAGGGCUUCAACAUAUGCAUUUUGGGAGCAUAUAUUUGGUCCUUAACAAUAUGAGAUA